GAGUCGAUGAUGAGAAUCUUAUAUUGUCUGAAGAAGUGAUAACCUGCAAAUCAUGCUCAAUAGGAUUACGCUGAGGCCC
Molecule: small nucleolar RNA, 79 nt
Organism: Chlorocebus sabaeus (green monkey)
Lineage: Eukaryota; Metazoa; Chordata; Mammalia; Primates; Cercopithecidae
Product: small nucleolar RNA SNORD115
Source: RefSeq, a predicted model, not a curated record